GAUGCAGGCUGGACAGAUGAGUUUUUUUUAGAUGAGGUUUUGUUGGGAAGGAACUGCACGUUUAACUUUAUCUUAACCGUCUGCUUAUACUGGCUGUGCUUUGCUGAAAUGAAGAGCGCUAUUUCCUGCCCAGGUCCAGGUCAGAAAGCUAACGUCCAACAAGAAAGUGGAUUUGUUGCGUUUGCUGUACCUUAGCACAUCCUGCUGGUGAUAAAAACAUUUGGAGAACUGCUUGAACAAUUCUCACUCGUGCGAUGCUGUGGGACUUGCUCAUGACCUGCCUCUUGAGAAGGCAAAGAACGGCUCAGCUGCGGUCCCAGCUCCAUCAACUUGGGGCAUGUGGGGCCCCUUACCUGUUGUGCAUGUCUCAGGCCCGCCCUUCUGCCCUUCCUUUGCCUGCUACGCAUUCAAACGAUAACUCUUUACAUCAUACUCAGAAGAGGAGGAGGAGCAUAGGGAGGAGAAUGACUUGAGUUGCUACUAUGUGAAUGCAGACGUAUCCAAGCAGGAGCAUUGUAGGUCCGAGGGGCUUCCAGAGACGUGGGAAACCCACAGGAGCAUCACAGCAGUGUGUCUGCUGCAAAGACUUCUCUCCCCACGAACUCCUCUGUUAUUCAUUCGUGCUGCAGUUUCAGUGACUGGUGGAUAAGGUAUGCUAUAAAUACGUACCAGCUUCUAUCUGCCGAGGCCUUCUAUACUGUGGGGAAAAAUGCACGAAAAAGCUGCUUGAAGCCAGCCUUCUCUUCCAUACCUGUUUGAAGAAAGCUAGCCUGGGAGCACAGUGCCCCCAGCCUCCCCACACUGACAGGCAUGCAGCAUCCCCUG
This 825-nucleotide long non-coding RNA is filed under the name Struthio camelus australis. RNAcentral describes it as "lncRNA (ENSSCUG00000002938.1)". The record is from RNAcentral. Lineage: Eukaryota; Metazoa; Chordata; Aves; Struthioniformes; Struthionidae.